This 737-nucleotide long non-coding RNA is filed under the name Linum usitatissimum (flax). RNAcentral describes it as "long non-coding RNA (LUSI_LNC006324)". Lineage: Eukaryota; Viridiplantae; Streptophyta; Magnoliopsida; Malpighiales; Linaceae. The record is from RNAcentral.
AGUUAACCCUCCUCCAACGACUUUUUCAGCGAGACUUUUUUAACAAAUCUUGUAACCCGUUCCAGCUGUUGGUUCCCACUAUCGGUCUAAGCUCUUGUAACUGUGAAGAAAACCUUAAAAGGAAAAGAUCCACAGUAUGAAUCUUCAUGCUAGUUGAGUUGAGUAAUUCCCUCCACUACACGAAAUGAAUCACGAGUUGAGGAGAUUAUCAUCUUUGUUGAAAUUGAGCUCACGAACCAGACAAGCAGUGAUCCAGGUCACCGCAUUCGACACCAUCUGGAUCCAUGUUAACGGUGUAAACAUGUGAAAUAUACAUGCAAACAAACCUUAAAUCCACAACAUCAAGAAGAGCAAGACCAGAUCAAGGUCUCACAGACACACAACCUCACUCUACUAGAACGUCUGGUAACUAAAUAUAAUGGCCAAAUUCAUUUAUCGCUUCCGACUCCGAGGAUCCACUGUGCAAGAUGAGUUAAAUAUGGUUCCGCUUGCGAAUUGCUACUCAAACCUUAAAUCCACAACAUCAAGAAGAGCAAGAACAGAUCAAGGUCUCACAGACACACAACCUCACUCUACUUGAACGUCUGGUAACUAAAUAUAAUGGCCAAAUUCAUUUAUCGCUUCCGACUCCGAGGAUCCACUGUGCAAGAUGAGUUAAAUAUGGUUCAGCUUGCGAAUUGCUACUCAAGAUCGGUCCCAAACUCUGAAGUUCGGAAUUGAACUCCUUCUCGAAUUUC